UACGAAGGGGGCUAGCGUUGUUCGGAAUUACUGGGCGUAAAGGGAGCGUAGGCGGGUUAUCAAGUUGGAGGUGAAAGCCCAGGGCUCAACCUUGGAAUUGCCUUCAAAACUGAUAGCCUAGAGUAUGAUAGAGGUAAGUGGAAUUCCGAGUGUAGAGGUGAAAUGCGUAGAUAUUCAGAGGAACACCAGUGGCGAAGGCGGCUCACUGGUCCAUUACUGACGCUGAGGUGCGAAAGCGUGGGGAGCAAACAGG
Molecule: ribosomal RNA, 253 nt
Filed under: uncultured bacterium
Lineage: Bacteria
Description: partial 16S ribosomal RNA
Rfam family: Bacterial small subunit ribosomal RNA
Source: RNAcentral